CCGAUCUGCGGGGAGAAGGUGCCUCCGAAGACCGGGUUGACGUGGUGCGGGAAGUUUUGGAAGAGCAUGGUCCCGUUGACCGGGGUGAUCCCCUGGAAGAAGCUGUCCUCUACCGCGUUCGUCGUGCCCGUGGACCAGUGAGAGAUGUGCUUAUAAGACAGAAAGACAGCAAUUUCGCCACGUCUCUUUCCCCUUCACCGGAACUCCGAGCGUUCAUCCUGCGAUGAGAAACUGAUUCUGGUUCCUGUUUUUUUCCCAAGCACCACCCUCCCCCAGCUAUUUGCAUACGUCAAUAAAUAGUGCUGCGUCCUUCAGCAAGGUUAAAAAGACGUGAUACACGACCCUCUCUUUUCCCCUUCCCCAGCUGGAGCACUUUUAAAAAAAGAAAAGAAAAAACAACAAGAAAAAGACAGCCCUCUUGAUUAGCAAACUGCCUUCUUGCUGCGGAUAAUUGUUUCAUUUGGCUGCAGCGAACCACGAGAGAGGAAAUCUUAGGCAUUUGUUGGAAGAACUCAGCUGCACAAUCAUUCUCUGGCCUCUCAGUAGCGGCAGCUACUCCAUUUUGUUAGGAGACGUUUUAAUAUAAAAGAAAACCCAGUUUUUAAAAAAGAGGAAAAUCGCCGGGCGUGGUGGCGCAUGCUUGUAAUCCUAGUACUCUGGAGGUAGAAGCAGGAGGAUCAAAAAUUCAAGGUCAGCCUUGACUACUUAGCCAGUUCGAGUCCAGCGUAGUAUAAAUGAAAAAAAUGACUCAAAAAGAAAAAGGAAAGAAAAGGAAAAAAGAAAGAAAAGAAACCUACUGAAACGUUUAGACGUGUUUGCUUCUUAUUACUCUAAGGAUUGUGGUUUUUCUGCUUAUUCUCCAAUUUUCUCGUCUCCAAUUCACCGCCCAAGAGAUUUCCUGGCUUCUUGGCGUUUCAGGUCUCAACGGGAGCCUGAGAAAUUCUCUGCAGAGUGGAGAAAUGCUUCUGGUUGGAUUUGAGGUCAGAGGGAGGGAGGUGGGGAGAGAGAAGGGAGGGAGUCUGUGAGAUGGAGUGGGGGCGGGACUUUAAAAAUGCAUCUGAGAUUUAAGUAGACAGUCAAGAUAAUUCUGGGGUUGCCAGAUUUUCAUUUUUGAAUCCUCCUGCUGCUGCCUCGGUCACAAGACUGGCAAAUUUAGAAUCCAUUCUUUUAUCACUAGUAUUAACAGUGAAAGACUAUGGUUUGACGACCCUGAAUUACCAUAUGCUAGCAACUGUUAAAAAUAGAGGAGUACAAAGUCCCAAAUUCUCAUCCAUUGUAAUUAUAGUACAUUACCCUCACUGCUUCAUUUAGCCAUAUAAGGAGUGUAUGGUAUUUUCCACUUCACAUACAAGAGCUAUAUUCACCUCUGUCAUACAACCUGUUUUCUUACUCAAGGAUGAAAACAGUAAUCACUCAAAACCAAAAGAUUUCCAUGUGUGUAGUUAUCACUGAAUUAGCUUGUCUCAGAAUAUGUUAAUUGCUUUAAAUAUCUGAAUAUUACAGGGCUGAGACCUUGAAAACAAAUAUUUUGAAAUGUUAAAGGAGCUAUGACCAAAUAUAUAAUUAUUUUUAGAUGAUUCAGUACAAUUGCAACAAAGUGAUUAAUAUAUUUAAUACAGUUAAUUAAUUCAUAUACUGGAAAAGCAUCUUUCUUGGGACAUUUGUAAAAGGGCAUUCAGAGACACACAACAGCUCUGCCAUUGGACUAUUCAAGAUAACUCUUAAAAUGGAGGUAUCUCUCUUAACUAUUACACAAAGGCUAUCAGACAAGAAGUUGGAUUAACUAUUCUGUUUUAUUAAAACUAUCACUAAGAGAUACCAUCUUUCACUUCAAAGUUUCAUAUACAAAGAGCACAGUGGGCUUAGGGAAAUAUUUCACUUCUCAAACACCUUACUUGCCUUUUUAUUCCUCUCUUCCCUGCCCAGUCCCCUCCCCUAGAAAAAAGCCCAGCCCAGGAUAAUAUAACAUGCACCAGGGGUUGCCUGCUACUGUCAAUGUAGCUUGCUUUAGAUUGCUCUUAUGUUCCUCGGUUCCCUCUAUCUAAAACAAUGGCUUUGAUUAGUAUUAUGAAUAGUGCACAGAGAGAGUGAACCUUGCAUUCAGACAGUACAAAGUUCCAUCACUACCAACGAGGAUGGUCACAGAGACAUUUUCAUACUUCCUUCUUACAAUGCUGCAGGAGACCAUUAUACUUCUGGAAUUUGAGUGUUUGGGUGAGCUAGAAUUUUCUUUACAAUAGCUAUAUCAUCAUGGCUGAAAUAUGUAUUGGAUUAUAAUUUUAGUAUUACCCAGCUUUUCUUAUUGUUUGUAUUCAACACUUUUUGUUAAUGCCUUUAGCUUAAACUGCAUGCUUUUGAUGGGAAAAAAUGCUGUACUUUACCACCCAACCAAGCCAAAAAGUAAAUUAGACUCAGAAUAUUUUAUAAUGGCUUUAAUUAAUAGUAAUACUACCUCAUUAAAUUCUCAAUGUUAUAACAAAACACUCCUUUAUUUUCUCAAUGCUCUUUAAAAAUAAUACAAAUUUCACUUAAUGUAUAAAUUCACUGUCAAGGUCAAGACCCACCUUUUAAUAAAUAAGAUAUUUUAAACAAAAGCUAAGUCAGCAAUUAAGAUAAAAUUUACAAAGUCAAUAUGCAGUAUCCUUAAAUAACUGUCUGUAUAAUUUGCUUUGGAGGGGUUUUUGCUUAUAUAUAGCAAAGUCUGAGAAAUAGAUGCCUGUUCCCCUCCCCCACCACACACAAUAGAUCGGCUUUUACAUGCAAUAACCCAAAUUCAGGUAAUAAAUUCAUAGCAGCAGUUACCUUUAAGUGUCCAGUUUUUAAGGAUCAAUAAAAUGAAAAAUGAACAGUA
Non-coding RNA from Peromyscus maniculatus bairdii (prairie deer mouse), 2851 nucleotides. The record is from RefSeq and is a predicted model, not a curated record. Lineage: Eukaryota; Metazoa; Chordata; Mammalia; Rodentia; Cricetidae.